This 121-nucleotide small nucleolar RNA is filed under the name Dasypus novemcinctus (nine-banded armadillo). Its description in RNAcentral is "Small nucleolar RNA SNORA38 (ENSDNOG00000030548.1)". It matches the Rfam family "Small nucleolar RNA SNORA38". From Rfam's summary of the family: ACA38 is a member of the H/ACA class of snoRNA that guide the sites of modification of uridines to pseudouridines. Lineage: Eukaryota; Metazoa; Chordata; Mammalia; Cingulata; Dasypodidae. The record is from RNAcentral.
CCCUCCUACAAAGGCAUGCCUGUGAUUCCCUGUCCUUGGAAUUAGAAGUGAAGAGAUGCAGACUUGAAGAAGUCUGGAGCCAGCUAGCUCCCUGCAGGCUCAGUAUUACCCUUUCCCAAUA